AGCGAACGCUGGCGGCAGGCUUAACACAUGCAAGUCGAGCGGGCAUCUUCGGAUGUCAGCGGCAGACGGGUGAGUAACACGUGGGAACAUACCCUUCGGUUCGGAACAACUCUGGGAAACUGGAGCUAAUACCGGAUACGCCCUUAUGGGGAAAGGUUUACUGCCGAAGGAUCGGCCCGCGUCUGAUUAGCUAGUUGGUGGGGUAACGGCCUACCAAGGCGACGAUCAGUAGCUGGUCUGAGAGGAUGAUCAGCCACACUGGGACUGAGACACGGCCCAGACUCCUACGGGAGGCAGCAGUGGGGAAUAUUGGACAAUGGGCGCAAGCCUGAUCCAGCCAUGCCGCGUGAGUGAUGAAGGCCUUAGGGUUGUAAAGCUCUUUUGUCCGGGACGAUAAUGACGGUACCGGAAGAAUAAGCCCCGGCUAACUUCGUG
Molecule: ribosomal RNA, 435 nt
Filed under: uncultured bacterium
Lineage: Bacteria
Description: partial 16S ribosomal RNA
Rfam family: Bacterial small subunit ribosomal RNA
Source: RNAcentral